CCUCACACUGCCGUCCUCACCGCAGGUGGCAAAAUGGCUCUCGUCAGAGCUAAACACCACAUCAUUCACCUGGACGGCAGAGAAAAGGAGAAACACAAAUCUCACCCUGCUAACAUUAUCGGCUCGCUUCUGAAAAACAGCUUCCUCGGAGGUCACAUCAGGUCUACAUCCAGGCCAUGGGUGAUGAUCAGGCAGAAGUAAACCCCUUGGCUGCCCACACAGGCCAGCUGGCUCGCUACCGAGGGACUGAAGGCUGCGUCAUGGAUCGGCCCUGACACUCUCACACUGGACAGCAGCUGGAAGGUCUUGCUGCUCCACAGAGCCACCUCUGGUUCAGAGAAGUCUCCUGCAGGGAAUUGGGAAGAAACAGCGGAAAUGCUCAUGACUGAUGAAUGCAAUCCAAUUCAAAUUUUACUGACCGACCGAGAGAAAGAAACGAUCGUCCCUGGAAAAAGCAAGACUCUG
This is a long non-coding RNA of Xiphias gladius (swordfish), 465 nucleotides long. RefSeq lists it as uncharacterized. The transcript has 3 exons. Lineage: Eukaryota; Metazoa; Chordata; Actinopteri; Istiophoriformes; Xiphiidae. The record is from RefSeq and is a predicted model, not a curated record.